GGCCAGGUAGCUCAGACGGUAGAGCGAGGGACUGAAAAUCCCUGCGUCGGCGGUUCGAUUCCGUCCCUGGCCA
This 73-nucleotide transfer RNA is filed under the name Candidatus Aminicenantota bacterium. RNAcentral describes it as "Candidatus Aminicenantes bacterium tRNA-Phe". It matches the Rfam family "tRNA". Rfam says of the family: Transfer RNA (tRNA) molecules are approximately 80 nucleotides in length. Lineage: Bacteria; Candidatus Aminicenantota. The record is from RNAcentral.